GACUGAAUGGCUUCCUUUUGCUGUGUCUACUUUUCACUUCAGAAAUCUGCUGUAACAUCUCCAUCUGUUUGAACUUCAGAGCUGGGAAAUGGCAACUUUUGUACACUCCAGAUACCAAACACUGCAGUUCUUGGAUCAGGAAUCUGACUCUGAAAGAAGUCCGUUUCAGUUUGGUGUGGAGAUUACUGAUGAAGAGUUUGAGCUGCUACUUGACAGAAUCCCCCUUGAUGAAGAUGGAAAUGUCAAAUACCCCCAGUUCAUGCUCAGGUUUGAUUCCUGGUAUACAGCAUAUGCAUUUUAUUCCUCAUUUGUGAGCAGGAUUAUUUUUAAUCUAAAAGGCUCACGUAGCAUUUCCAGACUGAAUCUCAUUUCUUAACUGUGCUCCUUUAUGACAUUUCUUGCAAAGAGUGUGCUGAUUAUAUUUAAAAUUAGCUGGUGUUGUGGGUGUAUACUGUUUGUAAUUUAAUUUCUCUUUACAUGCUAUUUACAUUAUUUAGAAGAAAG
This 504-nucleotide long non-coding RNA is filed under the name Cyanistes caeruleus (blue tit). RNAcentral's name for it is "lncRNA (ENSCCEG00000006356.1)". The record is from RNAcentral. Lineage: Eukaryota; Metazoa; Chordata; Aves; Passeriformes; Paridae.